GACGAACGCCGGCGGCGUGCUUAACACAUGCAAGUCGAACGGAAAGGCCCUGCUUUUGUGGGGUGCUCGAGUGGCGAACGGGUGAGUAACACGUGAGUAACCUGCCCUUGACUUUGGGAUAACUUCAGGAAACUGGGGCUAAUACCGGAUAGGAGCUCCUGCUGCAUGGUGGGGGUUGGAAAGUUUCGGCGGUUGGGGAUGGACUCGCGGCUUAUCAGCUUGUUGGUGGGGUAGUGGCUUACCAAGGCUUUGACGGGUAGCCGGCCUGAGAGGGUGACCGGCCACAUUGGGACUGAGAUACGGCCCAGACUCCUACGGGAGGCAGCAGUGGGGAAUAUUGCACAAUGGGCGGAAGCCUGAUGCAGCAACGCCGCGUGCGGGAUGACGGCCUUCGGGUUGUAAACCGCUUUCGCCUGUGACGAAGCGUGAGUGACGGUAAUGGGUAAAGAAGCACCGGCUAACUACGUGCCAGCAGCCGCGGUGAUACGUAGGGUGCGAGCGUUGUCCGGAUUUAUUGGGCGUAAAGGGCUCGUAGGUGGUUGAUCGCGUCGGAAGUGUAAUCUUGGGGCUUAACCCUGAGCGUGCUUUCGAUACGGGUUGACUUGAGGAAGGUAGGGGAGAAUGGAAUUCCUGGUGGAGCGGUGGAAUGCGCAGAUAUCAGGAGGAACACCAGUGGCGAAGGCGGUUCUCUGGGCCUUUCCUGACGCUGAGGAGCGAAAGCGUGGGGAGCGAACAGGCUUAGAUACCCUGGUAGUCCACGCUGUAAACGGUGGGUACUAGGUGUGGGGUCCAUUCCACGGGUUCCGUGCCGUAGCUAACGCUUUAAGUACCCCGCCUGGGGAGUACGGCCGCAAGGCUAAAACUCAAAGGAAUUGACGGGGCCCCGCACAAGCGGCGGAGCAUGCGGAUUAAUUCGAUGCAACGCGUAGAACCUUACCUGGGUUUGACAUGGAUCGGGAGCGCUCAGAGAUGGGUGUGCCUCUUUUGGGGUCGGUUCACAGGUGGUGCAUGGCUGUCGUCAGCUCGUGUCGUGAGAUGUUGGGUUAAGUCCCGCAACGAGCGCAACCCUUGUUCACUGUUGCCAGCACGUUAUGGUGGGGACUCAGUGGAGACCGCCGGGGUCAACUCGGAGGAAGGUGGGGAUGACGUCAAGUCAUCAUGCCCCUUAUGUCCAGGGCUUCACGCAUGCUACAAUGGCUGGUACAGAGAGUGGCGAGCCUGUGAGGGUGAGCGAAUCUCGGAAAGCCGGUCUCAGUUCGGAUUGGGGUCUGCAACUCGACCUCAUGAAGUCGGAGUCGCUAGUUAUCGCAGAUCAGCAACGCUGCGGUGAAUACGUUCCCGGGGCU
This 1346-nucleotide ribosomal RNA is filed under the name uncultured bacterium. Its description in RNAcentral is "bacterial SSU rRNA". It matches the Rfam family "Bacterial small subunit ribosomal RNA", at positions 28 to 1381 of the family's 1533-position model. The record is from RNAcentral.